UGUGGUAGGUAGCGGUCAACCCGAACUGCCUGGCAGAUAUGGUGGUGAUCUGGCGUGGACCACCUUUACACUGAUGG
Molecule: non-coding RNA, 77 nt
Filed under: Palpitomonas bilix
Lineage: Eukaryota
Source: RNAcentral